UACGUAGGGGGCAAGCGUUGUCCGGAAUCAUUGGGCGUAAAGAGCGUGUAGGCGGCCCGAUAAGUCCGCCGUGAAAGUCCAGGGCUCAACCCUGGAAUGCCGGUGGAAACUGUCGGGCUGGAGUCCGGAAGAGGCGAGUGGAAUUCCUGGUGUAGCGGUGAAAUUCGUAGAUAUUGGGAAGAACACCGGUGGCGAAGGCGGCUAUCUGGCCCGUAAUUGACGCUGAGGCGCGAAAGCGUGGGGAGCAAACAGG
RNAcentral lists this ribosomal RNA (253 nucleotides) under uncultured bacterium. RNAcentral describes it as "partial 16S ribosomal RNA". It matches the Rfam family "Bacterial small subunit ribosomal RNA", at positions 524 to 776 of the family's 1533-position model. The record is from RNAcentral.